AGAGCGAACGCUGGCGGCAGGCUUAACACAUGCAAGUCGAGCGGGCGUAGCAAUACGUCAGCGGCAGACGGGUGAGUAACGCGUGGGAACAUACCUUUUGGUUCGGAACAACACAGGGAAACUUGUGCUAAUACCGGAUAAGCCCUUACGGGGAAAGAUUUAUCGCCGAAAGAUUGGCCCGCGUCUGAUUAGCUAGUUGGUGAGGUAACGGCUCACCAAGGCGACGAUCAGUAGCUGGUCUGAGAGGAUGAUCAGCCACAUUGGGACUGAGACACGGCCCAAACUCCUACGGGAGGCAGCAGUGGGGAAUAUUGGACAAUGGGCGCAAGCCUGAUCCAGCCAUGCCGCGUGAGUGAUGAAGGCCCUAGGGUUGUAAAGCUCUUUCGCCCGCGACGAUGAUGACGGUAGCGGGAGAAGACGCCCGGCUAACUUCGCGCCAGCAGCCGC
This 447-nucleotide ribosomal RNA is filed under the name uncultured bacterium. Its description in RNAcentral is "SSU rRNA". It matches the Rfam family "Bacterial small subunit ribosomal RNA", at positions 26 to 518 of the family's 1533-position model. The record is from RNAcentral.